This 1474-nucleotide long non-coding RNA is filed under the name Anas platyrhynchos platyrhynchos (common mallard). RNAcentral's name for it is "lncRNA (ENSAPLG00000027184.1)". The record is from RNAcentral. Lineage: Eukaryota; Metazoa; Chordata; Aves; Anseriformes; Anatidae.
AAAUACAUUAUUUGUAUUCAUGAAGUGAAAUAGUGAUCCUAUAGCUGGACACAUACAUUAGAAAUUAUCUCAUACUUGUCAGAAAAGAUUGCCUGGGCAUUUUCAGUUUUGUUGACCAGUUUGGGGGGAUUUGGGGACGGGAUAUUGUCUCUGGUUUGCUCAGAUUUCUGUUGUGGAAUAAAUGAGUAGUCAUGGGAACCAUUGUAUUUCACUGGGUCAUCAUCGUAGCUGAGAAUGUUUUUCUUUGAAGCAAUUAAAUUUGUAGCCUGUAGCCUUGAACAUGUUUGUGUGUUGUGUCAUUUUUGUAUUUUCAUCCCUAGUAGCAAUGACUCAGGACUAAAUCACCCUUUUGCAGGAAUUACCUAUAAAGGAAACUGGAAACUCCAUGGAAUCUCUCUGUCAUCUUUACCUCCAGAUGGUGCCUCCAAAUCUCUUCUGAAAGAGCUUGUGCAGAGCAGAGUUGUUACAUUAAAUCACCACAGAGUGCAUAACAUUCAGCCUCGUGAUGGCAAUGCUCAGGCAACAGAGGGACAAACAGAACACAAAACCAUGACGGACUUGCAAACAAGGCUGAAGAUGCCCAGAGAUGGCAACAAGAAAUUUCACAGCGCCAAACAAUGAACCUACUGUCAGUUAAUACCAGGGAGAGAAAUACUAUCACUGAAACUAUGAAGAAAGUCCUGGAAUCUAGGUAAGAGUGUAUUAUAAUUAUUAUAUAGUCUGUAAAUCUUUUAAUCUGGAAUCUCACAACUGAGCCACAGGAUUCUGUCAUCUUAGAAAUACGAGUUGCCUCAUAUCAGUUGGAUACCAGAUACUAUUAAUGCACUGAAGGUUAAGCAACAUGUUAUGCUCAUUUAGUGGUAGUGAGACAUACUAGCUUAGAUCAUUCUCCAUGACUAGACAACCUGAAAAAAAAAAAAAAAGUCCUUCAGAAGGAAAAUAUUCAGUGGAGUUUUCUGAAAUUUUCUUACUAGGAAGGUAUAGCCUGUGCGUCAUUUACUGUCUCAUUAUAGAGUACUUGGAGCUUUAUUGGGAUAAGAGUUUGUGCCACACAGUCACACAUGUACCUGUCCCUGGGAUCCGGCUCUUUCCUCCAGUUUCUCUGUUCCUCUCCCCAGGCUUCUAGGAUUCUGUGUAGUUUUUUUCUGCUCCAUAACAGAUGUAGCAAGAAUCUUAUGUGCUCAUCACUUUCUUUUAUAAUUUCUUAGAAGUGUUGAAGUUUUUGUUCACAGUAAACUGUGAAUGAGAAUUAAAUGUUUCUGUUAAAAAAAAAGAAAAAAAAAACUUUUCAAAUAUGUCAUCUUAUGUGAAUAUUCCAAAGGGAUGCAGAUGGUCAGAAAAUGAAGGAAGCAGUCGUGGGUUUUGUUUGAUUUUCUGAAACAACUGUUGCUUAACUCAUAAAGUAGUGAACUGUCUACCAAAGGCAAUACACUCACCUUUUUAUAUUAAUAAACAUCCUUCAGAUGGCUUGGCA